This 148-nucleotide non-coding RNA is filed under the name Nomascus leucogenys (northern white-cheeked gibbon). Lineage: Eukaryota; Metazoa; Chordata; Mammalia; Primates; Hylobatidae. The record is from Rfam by way of RNAcentral.
GCCGGGCCUGGUGGUGCAUGCCUGUAGUUCAAGCUACUCAGGAGGCUGAGGUGGGAGGAUCACUUGAGCCCAGGAGGUCAAAGCUGCAGUGAGCCAUGAUGGUGCCACUGCAUUCCAGCCUGGGCAACACAGUAAGACCCUGUCUCAA